RNAcentral lists this non-coding RNA (30 nucleotides) under Homo sapiens (human). The record is from RNAcentral. Lineage: Eukaryota; Metazoa; Chordata; Mammalia; Primates; Hominidae.
UGCCACCUGCGGGCAGGAGGUGCCCAUUCU